Molecule: ribosomal RNA, 489 nt
Filed under: uncultured Nesterenkonia sp.
Lineage: Bacteria; Bacillati; Actinomycetota; Actinomycetes; Micrococcales; Micrococcaceae
Description: bacterial SSU rRNA
Rfam family: Bacterial small subunit ribosomal RNA
Source: RNAcentral
AGAGUUUGAUCCUGGCUCAGGAUGAACGCUGGCGGCGUGCUUAACACAUGCAAGUCGAACGAUGAAGACCGUGCUUGCACGGUUGGAUUAGUGGCGAACGGGUGAGUAUCACGUGAGUAACCUUCCCUUAACUCUGGGAUAAGCCCGGGAAACUGGGUCUAAUACCGGAUACGACCAGUCCUCGCAUGGGGUGCUGGUGGAAAGAUUUAUCGGUUUUGGAUGGACUCGCGGCCUAUCAGCUUGUUGGUGAGGUAAUGGCUCACCAAGGCGAUGACGGGUAGCCGGCCUGAGAGGGUGACCGGCCACACUGGGACUGAGACACGGCCCAGACUCCUACGGGAGGCAGCAGUGGGGAAUAUUGCACAAUGGGCGAAAGCCUGAUGCAGCGACGCCGCGUGCGGGAUGACGGCCUUCGGGUUGUAAACCGCUUUCAGCAGGGAAGAAGCGAAAGUGACGGUACCUGCAGAAGAAGCGCCGGCUAACUACGUG